Molecule: ribosomal RNA, 1458 nt
Filed under: Staphylococcus aureus
Lineage: Bacteria; Bacillati; Bacillota; Bacilli; Caryophanales; Staphylococcaceae
Description: partial 23S ribosomal RNA
Rfam family: Bacterial large subunit ribosomal RNA
Source: RNAcentral
GAUUAAGUUAUUAAGGGCGCACGGUGGAUGCCUUGGCACUAGAAGCCGAUGAAGGACGUUACUAACGACGAUAUGCUUUGGGGAGCUGUAAGUAAGCUUUGAUCCAGAGAUUUCCGAAUGGGGAAACCCAGCAUGAGUUAUGUCAUGUUAUCGAUAUGUGAAUACAUAGCAUAUCAGAAGGCACACCCGGAGAACUGAAACAUCUUAGUACCCGGAGGAAGAGAAAGAAAAUUCGAUUCCCUUAGUAGCGGCGAGCGAAAUGGGAAGAGCCCAAACCAACAAGCUUGCUUGUUGGGGUUGUAGGACACUCUAUACGGAGUUACAAAGGACGACAUUAGACGAAUCAUCUGGAAAGAUGAAUCAAAGAAGGUAAUAAUCCUGUAGUCGAAAAUGUAGUCUCUCUUGAGUGGAUCCUGAGUACGACGGAGCACGUGAAAUUCCGUCGGAAUCUGGGAGGACCAUCUCCUAAGGCUAAAUACUCUCUAGUGACCGAUAGUGAACCAGUACCGUGAGGGAAAGGUGAAAAGCACCCCGGAAGGGGAGUGAAAUAGAACCUGAAACCGUGUGCUUACAAGUAGUCAGAGCCCGUUAAUGGGUGAUGGCGUGCCUUUUGUAGAAUGAACCGGCGAGUUACGAUUUGAUGCAAGGUUAAGCAGUAAAUGUGGAGCCGUAGCGAAAGCGAGUCUGAAUAGGGCGUUUAGUAUUUGGUCGUAGACCCGAAACCAGGUGAUCUACCCUUGGUCAGGUUGAAGUUCAGGUAACACUGAAUGGAGGACCGAACCGACUUACGUUGAAAAGUGAGCGGAUGAACUGAGGGUAGCGGAGAAAUUCCAAUCGAACCUGGAGAUAGCUGGUUCUCUCCGAAAUAGCUUUAGGGCUAGCCUCAAGUGAUGAUUAUUGGAGGUAGAGCACUGUUUGGACGAGGGGCCCCUCUCGGGUUACCGAAUUCAGACAAACUCCGAAUGCCAAUUAAUUUAACUUGGGAGUCAGAACAUGGGUGAUAAGGUCCGUGUUCGAAAGGGAAACAGCCCAGACCACCAGCUAAGGUCCCAAAAUAUAUGUUAAGUGGAAAAGGAUGUGGCGUUGCCCAGACAACUAGGAUGUUGGCUUAGAAGCAGCCAUCAUUUAAAGAGUGCGUAAUAGCUCACUAGUCGAGUGACACUGCGCCGAAAAUGUACCGGGGCUAAACAUAUUACCGAAGCUGUGGAUUGUCCUUUGGACAAUGGUAGGAGAGCGUUCUAAGGGCGUUGAAGCAUGAUCGUAAGGACAUGUGGAGCGCUUAGAAGUGAGAAUGCCGGUGUGAGUAGCGAAAGACGGGUGAGAAUCCCGUCCACCGAUUGACUAAGGUUUCCAGAGGAAGGCUCGUCCGCUCUGGGUUAGUCGGGUCCUAAGCUGAGGCCGACAGGCGUAGGCGAUGGAUAACAGGUUGAUAUUCCUGUACCACCUAUAAUCGUUUUA